UGGGCUGGGGCUCAGUGGUACAGCACUCGCCUAGCAUGUGUGAGGCCCUGGGUCCGGUCCCCAGCACCACAU
Molecule: transfer RNA, 72 nt
Filed under: Marmota monax (woodchuck)
Lineage: Eukaryota; Metazoa; Chordata; Mammalia; Rodentia; Sciuridae
Description: tRNA.Ala
Source: RNAcentral